Molecule: long non-coding RNA, 5271 nt
Organism: Monodelphis domestica (gray short-tailed opossum)
Lineage: Eukaryota; Metazoa; Chordata; Mammalia; Didelphimorphia; Didelphidae
Source: RefSeq, a predicted model, not a curated record
GGGAGUUGGGGGGAGUUGUAGCCAAGAAUCCACACGAGGUCGUGAUGAUUCCAAAAGGCUCAGGUUUCACAAAUAAUGAUAGCUGAUCAUGACCAUCCAUGUCGUCCUCACUAUGUGCCAGGUAUUGGGCUAAGUACUUUAUAAUUCUUUUCAUCUCAUUCGAUCGUCACACCAACUCAGAGGAAUAAAGGACAAUUCCUUGUUGACGUUGACGGAGGGGAAUGGAAGUGCUUUAAGGAUAACAGUUUUCUGACCUAACUUCCUCCACCUCUACCACUGGAGAAGAAUUAUCCUUCAUGCCAGCCUGCCCCCUUCUCUCUCUCACCUGGGGACAUGGAAUGGUUCAGGAGGAAACAUCAAGUGGGAUAUUUUAUAUGAAUUCCACAGUAUUAUGACCUCUAUUUUAUAGACAGGAAUAAAAUCAAGAGAGAUUGCGGCUUGCCUACCUCAUCCAGCUGGCUAAUUCUGGAAUAGGAAUGAAAAAUAACAGUACUCUGCACUCUUGACUGGACCAUGUUGCUGGGAGCCAUCAGGCCACAACAACUUGACAGAGUCACAUGUGGUAGCUAAGGAGGCCAAAGAGUGACCCUUGGCAAGAUGUGCUUGCCCACUCUAUCCCCUUUGCAUAACCUCUCUCAUCAAUGCCCCUUACCUAUGGAAUUGACAUGAUUAUUAUUCCCCCGAGUCCCGGAAGGAAUAAUGCAAGAGAAAAAUACAUAUACCCUUAUUCCCCAAAACAUCACCAAAAGAUCAGACUCUCAAACCCAACCCCAAAAGACUAUCAUGGGUCAACAGGAUCUCUUGAUUUAUGACAUUCUAUAACUGUUCUGAUUGCAAUUUUGGAGAAUUUUGCAAUAACCCAUUGAGAUUUUUAGAAACAUCCAUUAUAAUAAUGGCUUAUACUAAGAACAUAUUUCACUGGAGAAGAAAAUAUAAGCUCAAAAUAUUAGAGUUCAUGUUGUUGGUGGAUUUCUAAUUUAGAAUAACAAAUAAUACAAAGAAAAGCAGGAGAAGGAAAUUAAAGGAAACUCUACACUGAUAGAAAGUGGAAAUAAGAACGAUCAACUAAAGGAUAAAAGAAGCUAAGAAGACACAAAGUCUUCCUGAAAUUUUGGAAAUACUGAACUUUAAAAAGAAAAUAGUGUCAACGAAUCAGCGAAAUUCUCAAACUCCGAAUGUGGUUAUUGUUAGAGACCAGUCUUAGACUGCCAUUCACCAUGCGUUCUUGAAGCCGACUCAAUUGCUCAGUCUCCUCUUGGAAGGGCUACAGAGAUCAGACAUAUUUCAUUUAGAGAAGCCACAUAAUAAAGAAGUUUGCUAACAUCGGCACUACUUCGUGGGGCAGGGGGCAUGGGGACAAAGAACCCAACACAGAACCUAACACUAUUGCUCACAGUAUGAGGCCCAACAUAUCAGCAGGAGAUGCCAACUUGAGUGUUAAUACACAUUGAUCCUUUGAGCCAGCUGCUGGGAGGGACUCCAAACACUUGAUGAUAACUAACACAUGCCACUUCUCGGAUUUUUUUGGUACUGAAUCCCAGCAUUUUCUUGUAAACGACAUCUUAUAAACCUGCUUCCUUGUGCCCUGGCGUUGACCGUGAUACCUCUUAAACAAGAUCAUGCAGCAACAGUGAGCUACUUUCUAGCACGGUCUCCAGGGGCUCCAACUUAACUUGUAUAUGAAGACUCCUGGCUCUUAGACGGGAUUGAGGCAGUGAAGCCCCGUCGGCUCAGCAGCCUCUUCAUCUGGAAGAACAAUCCAGACACCAACAAAUGGUUUUGUUGUUUCCCCCAGGAUUUAUUGCACUAAUGUUAACUGGCCCAUGACUCACCUGAAUAAACAGAAUCUCAGAAAAUGGAAUAUAAGCACGAGACAUUUCGGAUAAGGAAGGAAGGUGUAGCUGUCCCCAGACACACCUUAGUCAAAGUAGUCCAGAUUCAAGCAUUCAGUCAGUGGGUCCAGACUCUUGGGUUGCAGUUCCCCUUCUCCGCCAGUGUGUGAACAAGACCCGGGUCAAUUUGAAGGCGUGAUAGAGGCUUGGUCAUGAGGUGAUGGCAAAUGACACGGUACAGGAAGCAUCUUGUGGGUUUUUGAGAGAAUCAGACACACCUUAUGGAGAAAAACAGUAAGUCGCUUUGGUAGUUCUCCAGGCUAAAUGUUAAGGAUUCCAAUUUAAGAGUGGGGCAAGAAGGAGCAGAAAACCCAGGUCUUCGAGAAGUAGCUGCUUUGCAAGUGCACGGGGCAGGUUGAGUGGGCUAUUCUCAGAGCGAGGAUUCCCCUCACAAAAGCGAGCUGGUUACCUUUUUGCUGGUGAAAGACUCCGAGCAGGCUGGAUAUAGAGUAUAGGGACAUCUAAAUGGAUGCAGAGCGACUGUUACUGGAGGUGAGAAACAAUUCUAACAAGAGAGAAACGUAUUAGAAGGGAGCAAAUCUUUGGAGCCCCGCUGCAUGGGCCUGUGUGGAACCCUCCAAGGACCAGCAGGAGGAAAAGGGCUUGCUGCUGUCUCGUGGUCGUUCUCCUUUGACAUGUGUGGAACAUACUCGUAUCUCAAUAUUCUCCUGUCACUGUCCUCGAAGGUUUUAGCCCAACCUUAGUGUACAGACACGCUGUGUUUGCCAGAGUGUGCCUCAGGCUUUCGGACGGAAGGCUUUAUGCCAACAGUUCUUCUUAAAAAAUUAAUUUAGAAUAGUUCUUCACGGUUCCAUGGUUCAUGUUCGUUCCCUCCCCUCUUCCCUCAUCCCUCCCUGAGCUGACAAGCAAUUCCGGUCUAUACCAAUUGUUCUUGGCUAUUGUCUAAGCAAACUCAUUUGCCAAAAGUUACUUAAGUCUAAUAGGUGAUUAUGUUAAAAUGGGAAACAAGACUUGGGCCAUGGCAGCAUGGGAUUCGGAUGUUCCCUCAAGCUGGUGGAAUAGAAUCCCAGAGAAACAGCUAAGAAACUGCCUCUCUUUGGACCCGGAGGAAGGAGGAGCAGCUUGAGAGACUAGCAGUCACACAAGCCCGGGAAUAUCUUUGGGGGUGGAGAAGGAGGCCGUCUUCAUUCUUCUGCUGGACAGCUAGAACAGACCCCCUCCGGCUAGUUCUCGCGGGAUCUUUGGACUUUGCCCGCCAAAAGACGGUUGGAAGAUUACUAAUCCCUAAAGACGCUGCCUUUAAUGUAUUUAGAAAUAAGAUAGUUUGUCGUCAGAUAGCUUAUAAUUUAGAGGGUGAAACAGUUAAGAUCUGUCCCUUUCCCUUCUUUUCCUUUCCUUGUUUUAAUAAAAUCAAAAUGUUUAUAUGUUUCCUUCUAUGUUUCUUCCCUAAAACCCCUUUAACCCUAUUGUAAUAUUUCAGUAUGAUUAGUAAAGGAAAGCACAUUAGUGGAGGCUCAGGAGCGACAGUAUUAGAAGUAGAAUCUUAAGUUACAGACAAUAAGCAUUUAUUAAGUACCUACUAUGUGCUAAGCCUUGAGACCACAAAUGGGCUCAAAAUAUAUUCUCUGCCCUCAAGGAGCUCAUAAUCUAAUGAGGGAGCUCAUAAUCUAAUAAUAUGUAUAGACAAGCCCCACACACAGCACAAAUAGGAAAUAAUUAAAGAGUCAAGGCGCCCCAAUGAAGGAUUAGAAAUGGCUUCCUAUAGGAGAUGUCCUUUUUACUUCAGCUCUGCACUGUACAAAACCCACUGUGCACUUCAUUUCUAUUUUAUUUCCCUGCCGUCAGUAACCUUGACAGGCUUGUCUGGUAGCUGCCAGACAAGAAGUGCCUAUUCCAUAGCACUGGUUAUGUGAAAAGGAGGGAACCAACAAAGUGGCUUUUGGAGAGCUUUGCUUCUGCUCCUAGAAAAGGCUUGACCCCUGGGCUAUUAGUGCUUUCUUCCCACCCCACCCAGCUCAUCCCACAAAUAACGUUGUAUACACUCUAUAUGGGCUCAUCUGCAGAGUCACUUUCUUAUCCUAGAAUGUACAUUUUCUGAGGGCUAGGAAUAUUCCAUCGUAAUACUUAAAGCAAUUGUUGAGGAUUGAAAAGGGACCGGGGAUAAGGGAGGGUUUAUAACAGGGAAUGGAGGAGUAGAAGGGACAGAGGGAAUAUGGAUGCUGUGAGGUAAAAGGAGAGAGAUGCCCCCUGCCAAGAGGCUGUUUUUGAAAAAUGGGGUUCCCGAGAAAUGGGCCACCUAUGAUAACCUGAGGGAAUGUCUUCUCUAUUGAUUGUUGUUGAAGAUACCCCAGGGCAGGUAAGCACAGACCCUCCUUAGGGACAAGCCUCUACCUCCCUCACCACCACCAAGGUCACCCAGCAAGGGUCCAAUAACGACCUUUUAUGGUUGAAUAGCUGUCCUUAGGUUCUGUUCCCUCUAUGUUCCCCUGAAAUUAUAGACCUCCUUCUUAUCUGACUGUGGGUUAUUUAAAUAAAGAUGAAUUUAAUAACAUGUUUGGAUUGGUAAGGUAUCAGGGUAGAAGGAUAAGGAUUGCCCUAUACUUUUCACAGGUUGCGUUUGAGUCUUUCUCAGCUUUUGAGCUGUGGUCAGACCUUGCAGGCUUGUGGAGGAUUUCUUUUAUUCCUGUCUAUGCUAAUCUAUGCUAGCUGUCUUAAGUUCAAAACCUUUAGCAGAAGACAGCAAGAGGAAGAAAAAGUUCUGACCUUCAGAGCUGGUUGGGCCUGUCUUUUCGGGCUAAUGCCCUGAAGACCAGUGCUACUGUUUAGACUGCUCCCCUUAAAUCCUUUUGUUUGAUGACAUGAUCACAGGAAUCCAGAUAGAGUACACAGUUGGGAAAAAUCCAGGAAUAGAGGUACUUCUAUCCAGAGACAAGGAGAGAGCGCUCCUUCCAGUCUGAGGACCAGGAAAGAAUGUCCCCUUGAGAGCAACUGUCACUCUCCAAGUUGCUUCUCCCCCUAUCAACUGUCAUUGUUGUCAAUAUCUUUUCUCUAACAUUCUAACUGUUUGCGGUCUCCUCCACCUCAGUGGCAGAAAAUCCAGAGCUUGAUUCAGUUUUCCUUUCCACACCAUUUAUGUUUUUGUAUUCCCAGAGCCUAGUAGUAUAAUUCUUUGCAUACAAGUACAUAAUAAUUCCUGAUUACCAAUACUUGGUAAUAGUUUGGAUAUGAGUAAUAAUGAGAAGCAGUGUGUUAGAAGAAAGAAAUGGCUUUGGAGCCACAAGGACCUGAGUUCAAGUCCUGCCACUGUCACAUACUUGCUAUAUAAUCUGGGAAAGUCUACUUAAAUAGAAAUGUGUCCAUGUAUACAGGAUAUUUGUUGGCUGUAUAUUGACUUAGAAAAUCACAUAUUAAUAUAAUA